GUGGGGAAUCUUCCGCAAUGGACGAAAGUCUGACGGAGCAACGCCACGUGAGUGAAGAAGGUUUUCGGAUCGUAAAGCUCUUUCGUUAGGGACGAACGUGCUCUUUGUGAAUAAUGAGGAGUAAUGACGGUACCUAAAUAAGAAGCCACGGCUAACUACGUGCCAGCAGCCGCGGUAAUACGUAGGUGGCAAGCGUUGUCCGGAAUUAUUGGGCGUAAAGCGCGCGCAGGCGGGAUAUCAAGUCUGUCUUAAAAGUGCGAGGCUCAACCUCGUGAGGGGACAGAAACUGGUAUUCUUGAGUGUCGGAGAGGAAAGUGGAAUUCCAAGUGUAGCGGUGAAAUGCGUAGAGAUUUGGAAGAACACCAGUGGCGAAGGCGACUUUCUGGACGAUGUCUGACGCUGAGGCGCGAAAGCUAGGGGAGCGAACGGGAUUAGAAACCCGAGUAGUCC
Molecule: ribosomal RNA, 450 nt
Filed under: uncultured bacterium
Lineage: Bacteria
Description: partial 16S ribosomal RNA
Rfam family: Bacterial small subunit ribosomal RNA
Source: RNAcentral